GCGCCGGUGGCUCAGCUGGAUAGAGCACCAGACUACGAAUCUGGGGGUCGGGAGUUCGAAUCUCUCCCGGCGCACCA
This 77-nucleotide transfer RNA is filed under the name Pelagibacteraceae bacterium TMED258. RNAcentral describes it as "tRNA-Arg". It matches the Rfam family "tRNA". Rfam says of the family: Transfer RNA (tRNA) molecules are approximately 80 nucleotides in length. Their secondary structure includes four short double-helical elements and three loops (D, anti-codon, and T loops). Further hydrogen bonds mediate the characteristic L-shaped molecular structure. tRNAs have two regions of fundamental functional importance: the anti-codon, which is responsible for specific mRNA codon recognition, and the 3' end, to which the tRNAs corresponding amino acid is attached (by aminoacyl-tRNA synthetases). tRNAs cope with the degeneracy of the genetic code in two manners: having more than one tRNA (with a specific anti-codon) for a particular amino acid; and 'wobble' base-pairing, i.e. permitting non-standard base-pairing at the 3rd anti-codon position. Lineage: Bacteria; Pseudomonadati; Pseudomonadota; Alphaproteobacteria; Candidatus Pelagibacterales; Candidatus Pelagibacteraceae. The record is from RNAcentral. RNAcentral also lists the same sequence under 2 other names.